ACUGAGACACGGCCCAGACUCCUACGGGAGGCAGCAGUGGGGAAUAUUGCACAAUGGGCGAAAGCCUGAUGCAGCGACGCCGCGUGAGGGAUGACGGCCUUCGGGUUGUAAACCUCUUUCAGCAGGGAAGAAGCGAAAGUGACGGUACCUGCAGAAGAAGCGCCGGCUAACUACGUGCCAGCAGCCGCGGUAAUACGUAGGGCGCAAGCGUUGUCCGGAAUUAUUGGGCGUAAAGAGCUCGUAGGCGGUCUGUCGCGUCGGAUGUGAAAGCCCGGGGCUUAACCCCGGGUCUGCAUUCGAUACGGGCAGACUAGAGUGUGGUAGGGGAGAUCGGAAUUCCUGGUGUAGCGGUGAAAUGCGCAGAUAUCAGGAGGAACACCGGUGGCGAAGGCGGAUCUCUGGGCCAUUACUGACGCUGAGGAGCGAAAGCGUGGGGAGCGAACAGGAUUAGAUACCCUGGUAGUCCACGCCGUAAACGGUGGGAACUAGGUGUUGGCGACAUUCCACGUCGUCGGUGCCGCAGCUAACGCAUUAAGUUCCCCGCCUGGGGAGUACGGCCGCAAGGCUAAAACUCAAAGGAAUUGACGGGGGCCCGCACAAGCAGCGGAGCAUGUGGCUUAAUUCGACGCAACGCGAAGAACCUUACCAAGGCUUGACAUCGCCCGGAAAGCAUCAGAGAUGGUGCCCCCCUUGUGGUCGGGUGACAGGUGGUGCAUGGCUGUCGUCAGCUCGUGUCGUGAGAUGUUGGGUUAAGUCCCGCAACGAGCGCAACCCUUGUUCUGUGUUGCCAGCAACCUCUUCGGAGGGUUGGGGACUCACAGGAGACUGCCGGGGUCAACUCGGAGGAAGGUGGGGACGACGUCAAGUCAUCAUGCCCCUUAUGUCUUGGGCUGCACACGUGCUACAAUGGCAGGUACAAUGAGCUGCGAUGUCGCAAGGCGGAGCGAAUCUCAAAAAGCCUGUCUCAGUUCGGAUUGGGGUCUGCAACUCGACCCCAUGAAGUCGGAGUUGCUAGUAAUCGCAGAUCAGCAUUGCUGCGGUGAAUACGUUCCCGGGCCUUGUACACACCGCCCGUCACGUCACGAAAGUCGGUAACACCCG
This 1101-nucleotide ribosomal RNA is filed under the name Streptomyces sp. RNAcentral describes it as "bacterial SSU rRNA". It matches the Rfam family "Bacterial small subunit ribosomal RNA", at positions 318 to 1423 of the family's 1533-position model. Lineage: Bacteria; Bacillati; Actinomycetota; Actinomycetes; Kitasatosporales; Streptomycetaceae. The record is from RNAcentral.